ACUGCUCUAAUAAGGAGAGUCAGC
RNAcentral lists this non-coding RNA (24 nucleotides) under Arabidopsis thaliana (thale cress). Lineage: Eukaryota; Viridiplantae; Streptophyta; Magnoliopsida; Brassicales; Brassicaceae. The record is from RNAcentral.